GAUGAACGCUGGCGGCGUGCCUAAUACAUGCAAGUCGAGCGAACGGACGAGGAGCUUGCUCCUCUGACGUUAGCGGCGGACGGGUGAGUAACACGUGGAUAACCUACCUAUAAGACUGGGAUAACUUCGGGAAACCGGAGCUAAUACCGGAUAAUAUAUUGAACCGCAUGGUUCAAUAGUGAAAGACGGUUUUGCUGUCCCUUAUAGAUGGAUCCGCGCCGCAUUAGCUAGUUGGUAAGGUAACGGCUUACCAAGGCAACGAUGCGUAGCCGACCUGAGAGGGUGAUCGGCCACACUGGAACUGAGACACGGUCCAGACUCCUACGGGAGGCAGCAGUAGGGAAUCUUCCGCAAUGGGCGAAAGCCUGACGGAGCAACGCCGCGUGAGUGAUGAAGGUCUUCGGAUCGUAAAACUCUGUUAUUAGGGAAGAACAAAUGUGUAAGUAACUAUGCACGUCUUGACGGUACCUAAUCAGAAAGCCACGGCUAACUACGUG
Molecule: ribosomal RNA, 497 nt
Filed under: uncultured bacterium
Lineage: Bacteria
Description: partial 16S ribosomal RNA
Rfam family: Bacterial small subunit ribosomal RNA
Source: RNAcentral